This 492-nucleotide ribosomal RNA is filed under the name uncultured bacterium. Its description in RNAcentral is "bacterial SSU rRNA". It matches the Rfam family "Bacterial small subunit ribosomal RNA", at positions 28 to 480 of the family's 1533-position model. The record is from RNAcentral.
GACGAACGCUGGCGGCGUGCCUAAUACAUGCAAGUCGAACGCACUCUCGUUUAGAUUGAAGGAGCUUGCUCCUGAUUGGUAAACAUUUGAGCGAGUGGCGGACGGGUGAGUAACACGUGGGUAACCUGCCCUAAAGUGGGGGAUAACAUUUGGAAACAGAUGCUAAUACCGCAUAAAACCUAACACCGCAUGGUGUAGGGUUGAAAGAUGGUUUCGGCUAUCACUUUAGGAUGGACCCGCGGUGCAUUAGUUAGUUGGUGAGGUAAAGGCUCACCAAGACCGUGAUGCAUAGCCGACCUGAGGGGGUAAUCGGCCACACUGGGACUGAGACACGGCCCAGACUCCUACGGGAGGCAGCAGUAGGGAAUCUUCCACAAUGGACGAAAGUCUGAUGGAGCAACGCCGCGUGAGUGAAGAAGGUUUUCGGAUCGUAAACUCCGUUGUUGGAGAAGAAUGUAUCUGAUAGUAACUGAUCAGGUAGUGACGGUAUCC